CCUACGGGCGGCAGCAGUAGGGAAUAUUGCUCAAUGGGGGAAACCCUGAAGCAGCAACGCCGCGUGGAGGAUGAAGGUUUUCGGAUUGUAAACUCCUUUUGUUAGAGAAGAUAAUGACGGUAUCUAACGAAAAAGCAUCGGCUAACUCCGUGCCAGCAGCCGCGGUAAUACGGAGGAUGCGAGCGUUAUCCGGAUUUAUUGGGUUUAAAGGGUGCGUAGGCGGGAUGCCAAGUCAGCGGUAAAAAUGCGGUGCUCAACGCCGUCGAGCCGUUGAAACUGGCGUUCUUGAGUGGGCGAGAAGUAGGCGGAAUGCGUGGUGUAGCGGUGAAAUGCAUAGAUAUCACGCAGAACUCCGAUUGCGAAGGCAGCAUACCGGCGCCCUACUGACGCUGAGGCACGAAAGCGUGGGUAUCGAACAGGAUUAGAUACCCGUGUAGUC
Molecule: ribosomal RNA, 439 nt
Filed under: uncultured bacterium
Lineage: Bacteria
Description: partial 16S ribosomal RNA
Rfam family: Bacterial small subunit ribosomal RNA
Source: RNAcentral